This 253-nucleotide ribosomal RNA is filed under the name uncultured bacterium. RNAcentral's name for it is "partial 16S ribosomal RNA". It matches the Rfam family "Bacterial small subunit ribosomal RNA", at positions 524 to 776 of the family's 1533-position model. The record is from RNAcentral.
UACAGAGGGUGCAAGCGUUAAUCGGAAUUACUGGGCGUAAAGCGCACGCAGGUGGCUGUGUAAGUCGGAUGUGAAAGCCCCGGGCUCAACCUGGGAAUUGCAUUCGAUACUGCAUAGCUAGAGUAUGGGAGAGGGGGGUAGAAUUCCAGGUGUAGCGGUGAAAUGCGUAGAGAUCUGGAGGAAUACCGGUGGCGAAGGCGACCACCUGGACUGAUACUGACACUGAGGUGCGAAAGCGUGGGGAGCAAACAGG